RNAcentral lists this transfer RNA (75 nucleotides) under Actinoplanes awajinensis subsp. mycoplanecinus. Its description in RNAcentral is "tRNA-Glu". It matches the Rfam family "tRNA". Rfam says of the family: Transfer RNA (tRNA) molecules are approximately 80 nucleotides in length. Their secondary structure includes four short double-helical elements and three loops (D, anti-codon, and T loops). Lineage: Bacteria; Bacillati; Actinomycetota; Actinomycetes; Micromonosporales; Micromonosporaceae. The record is from RNAcentral.
CGGGUCGUAGCGCAGAGGUCGUCGCGUCUCCCUCUCACGGGGAAGGACACCGGUUCGAAUCCGGUCGGCCCGCCA